GACGAACGCUGGCGGCGUGCUUAACACAUGCAAGUCGAACGGAAAGGCCCUGCUUUUGUGGGGUGCUCGAGUGGCGAACGGGUGAGUAACACGUGAGUAACCUGCCCUUGACUUUGGGAUAACUUCAUGAAACUGGGGCUAAUACCGGAUAGGAGCUCCUGCUGCAUGGUGGUGGUUGGAAAGUUUCGGCGGUUGGGGAUGGACUCGCGGCUUAUCAGCUUGUUGGUGGGGUAGUGGCUUACCAAGGCUUUGACGGGUAGCCGGCCUGAGAGGGUGACCGGCCACAUUGGGACUGAGAUACGGCCCAGACUCCUACGGGAGGCAGCAGUGGGGAAUAUUGCACAAUGGGCGGAAGCCUGAUGCAGCAACGCCGCGUGCGGGAUGACGGCCUUCGGGUUGUAAACCGCUUUCGCCUGUGACGAAGCGUGAGUGACGGUAAUGGGUAAAGAAGCACCGGCUAACUACGUG
RNAcentral lists this ribosomal RNA (468 nucleotides) under uncultured bacterium. RNAcentral's name for it is "partial 16S ribosomal RNA". It matches the Rfam family "Bacterial small subunit ribosomal RNA", at positions 28 to 507 of the family's 1533-position model. The record is from RNAcentral.